GUCCCCAUCGUCUAGCCUGGCCUAGGACACGAGCUUUUCAAGCUUGCGACACCGGUUCAAAUCCGGUUGGGGACGCCA
This 78-nucleotide transfer RNA is filed under the name Candidatus Omnitrophota bacterium. Its description in RNAcentral is "Candidatus Omnitrophica bacterium tRNA-Glu". It matches the Rfam family "tRNA". From Rfam's summary of the family: Transfer RNA (tRNA) molecules are approximately 80 nucleotides in length. Their secondary structure includes four short double-helical elements and three loops (D, anti-codon, and T loops). Lineage: Bacteria; Pseudomonadati; Candidatus Omnitrophota. The record is from RNAcentral.